RNAcentral lists this ribosomal RNA (254 nucleotides) under uncultured bacterium. Its description in RNAcentral is "partial 16S ribosomal RNA". It matches the Rfam family "Bacterial small subunit ribosomal RNA", at positions 524 to 776 of the family's 1533-position model. The record is from RNAcentral.
UACAGAGGUCUCAAGCGUUGUUCGGAUUCAUUGGGCGUAAAGGGUGCGUAGGUGGCGGGGCAAGUCUGGUGUGAAAUCCCUCGGCUUAACCGGGGAACUGCGUCUGAUACUGGAUGGCUUGAGUUUGGGAGAGGGAUGCGGAAUUCCAGGUGUAGCGGUGAAAUGCGUAGAUAUCUGGAGGAACACCGGUGGCGAAGGCGGCAUCCUGGACCAACACUGACGCUGAGUGAGCGAAAGCCAGGGGAGCAAACGGG